CCGACGCCGCCGCCUCCGCCGCGAUCCCCGCCGAGUCCGCGCCGCCGCUACAAUCCCAUCCCGAGAACGGGAGCGCGGGGUCCUCAGCCCUCGCCGCCUGGUUCUUCAGCCGCGAAGGCCCGCGGGAGAUCCUGGAAACGAGCGGCCGCGGUUCCCAAGCCCACGUUUUCCUGGCUGGAGUUCGAUGGGAUUAACUUCCUCUCCGAGUAGAAUAGCGCUCUCUCGACGUCACUGUGUCCCGGCUUACAACUAGAGGUGUCGCACACACCCACUUGGGUGCCUCCCCUUCCAAAACCAAGCAGAAAGGCGUCUAGAAAAUUAGAAGGUUUUGCCAGUUGGUGCUGGCGUAGAGGACGUUUCGAAGGCGCUUGGAGCACCCCACCGUUGCACUGGAUGUAGCUACCCCGGCUUGUGGUCAAUAGAGCUCCACCUGGCUUUUGGGGGGUGGCGGGGGGAUGGGGGAAGAGUUGUUUUUUAAUCCAUACUUUAUCCACUUUUCCUGUGCCUUCUUUCCAUCCCCUAAUACAUACAAGGGGAAAUUACCUGGGUGGACUUUUUAGUGAACGUAAAUGUUCCUUUAUGACCGUGAUUUAAUCAAUGCACUGUUUGCUUUCUAUUCUUUUUAAACUAGUUAUUGCUAUGGCUUUAAAAUAUCGUAGACUGUAUAGUUUUACUGACUGCUGUUUUUCAUCAUACAGGAUUUUAUUGUUCUAACAUUUAUUAAGCACUCAUAAUGUGCUAGAAACUCUACAUAUUAUUGCGAGUCAUUGCCUCUCAACACUGUUAAAUAUUUAAAGAAAUAAAUACUGCAGAAGCUA
Molecule: long non-coding RNA, 818 nt
Filed under: Homo sapiens (human)
Lineage: Eukaryota; Metazoa; Chordata; Mammalia; Primates; Hominidae
Description: HSALNT0377180
Source: RNAcentral